CCUGCUAUGGUAUAACUUAGUGGCAGACGGGUGAGUAAUGUAUAGGAAUCUACCUAGUAGUACGGAAUAAUUGUUGGAAACGGCAACUAAUACCGUAUACGCCCUACGGGGGAAAAAUUUAUUGCUAUUAUAUGAGCCUAUAUUAGAUUAGCUAGUUGGUGGAGUAAUAGCCUACCAAGGCAAUGAUCUAUAGCUGAUCUGAGAGGAUGAUCAGCCACACUGGAACUGAGAUACGGUCCAGACUUCUACGGGAGGCAGCAGUGGGGAAUAUUGGACAAUGGGCGAAAGCCUGAUCCAGCCAUGUCGCAUGAGUGAUGAAGGCUUAUGGGUUGUAAAGCUCUUUUAGUGAGGAAGAUAAUGACGGUACUCACAGAAGAAGU
RNAcentral lists this ribosomal RNA (380 nucleotides) under Wolbachia pipientis. RNAcentral describes it as "bacterial SSU rRNA". It matches the Rfam family "Bacterial small subunit ribosomal RNA", at positions 76 to 491 of the family's 1533-position model. Lineage: Bacteria; Pseudomonadati; Pseudomonadota; Alphaproteobacteria; Rickettsiales; Anaplasmataceae. The record is from RNAcentral.